This 70-nucleotide small RNA is filed under the name Serratia liquefaciens. RNAcentral describes it as "partial RtT sRNA". It matches the Rfam family "RtT RNA", at positions 59 to 130 of the family's 130-position model. From Rfam's summary of the family: This family represents a bacterial cis-regulatory element known as RtT RNA. Lineage: Bacteria; Pseudomonadati; Pseudomonadota; Gammaproteobacteria; Enterobacterales; Yersiniaceae. The record is from RNAcentral.
GAGACAACGCGCUUUAGCGCGGCCCGCAGGGUGAGGAACGAAGAGACGAAUAAUCCUUCCCCCACAACCA